This 221-nucleotide ribosomal RNA is filed under the name uncultured bacterium. RNAcentral describes it as "partial 16S ribosomal RNA". It matches the Rfam family "Bacterial small subunit ribosomal RNA", at positions 29 to 250 of the family's 1533-position model. The record is from RNAcentral.
AAUAAACGCUGGCGGCGUGCCUAACACAUGCAAGUCGAACGAGAAAGUUCCUUCGGGAACGAGUAAAGUGGCGAACGGGUGAGUAACACGUGAGAAUUUUCCCUUUAGUGAAGGAUACCUUCGAGAAAUACGAAGUUAAUACUGCAUACGUCUCUUCGGAGAGAAAGGACGGCCUCUUUGUCUGCCGCUAAAGGAAUAAGCUCGCGCACUAUUAGCUAGUU